GGGUUAAGUCCCGCAACGAGCGCAACCCUCAUCCUUAGUUGCCAUCACGUUUGGGUGGGCACUCUAAGGAAACUGCCGGUGGCAAGCCGGAGGAAGGUGGGGAUGACGUCAAGUCCUCAUGGCCCUUACGGGUAGGGCUACACAUGUGCUACAAUGGCAGUGACAAUGGGAUAAUCCCAAAAAGCUGUCUCAGUUCGGAUUGUCGUCUGCAACUCGACGGCAUGCAGGUGGAAUCGCUAGUAAUCGUGGAUCAGCAUGCCACGGUGAAUACGUUCCCGGGCCUU
RNAcentral lists this ribosomal RNA (284 nucleotides) under uncultured Hyphomonas sp. RNAcentral's name for it is "partial 16S ribosomal RNA". It matches the Rfam family "Bacterial small subunit ribosomal RNA", at positions 1077 to 1382 of the family's 1533-position model. Lineage: Bacteria; Pseudomonadati; Pseudomonadota; Alphaproteobacteria; Hyphomonadales; Hyphomonadaceae. The record is from RNAcentral.